UAGGGAAUCUUCGGCAAUGGACGAAAGUCUGACCGAGCAACGACGCGUGAGUGAAGAAGGUUUUCGGAUCGUAAAACUCUGUUGUUAGAGAAGAACAAGGACGUUAGUAACUGAACGUCCCCUGACGGUAUCUAACCAGAAAGCCACGGCUAACUACGUGCCAGCAGCCGCGGUAAUACGUAGGUGGCAAGCGUUGUCCGGAUUUAUUGGGCGUAAAGCGAGCGCAGGCGGUUUCUUAAGUCUGAUGUGAAAGCCCCCGGCUCAACCGGGGAGGGUCAUUGGAAACUGGGAGACUUGAGUGCAGAAGAGGAGAGUGGAAUUCCAUGUGUAGCGGUGAAAUGCGUAGAUAUAUGGAGGAACACCAGUGGCGAAGGCGGCUCUCUGGUCUGUAACUGACGCUGAGGCUCGAAAGCGUGGGGAGCAAACAGG
This 429-nucleotide ribosomal RNA is filed under the name Gemmatimonadota bacterium. Its description in RNAcentral is "Gemmatimonadetes bacterium partial 16S ribosomal RNA". It matches the Rfam family "Bacterial small subunit ribosomal RNA", at positions 355 to 776 of the family's 1533-position model. The record is from RNAcentral. Lineage: Bacteria; Pseudomonadati; Gemmatimonadota.